RNAcentral lists this ribosomal RNA (621 nucleotides) under uncultured bacterium. RNAcentral describes it as "bacterial SSU rRNA". It matches the Rfam family "Bacterial small subunit ribosomal RNA", at positions 129 to 768 of the family's 1533-position model. The record is from RNAcentral.
CCGAUGACUCGGGGAUAGCCUUUCCAAAGAAAGAUUAAUACCCGAUGGCUCCGCAUGGUUAAAGAAUUUCGGUCAUCGAUGGGGAUGCGUUCCAUUAGGUUGUUGGCGGGGUAACGGCCCACCAAGCCUUCGAUGGAUAGGGGUUCUGAGAGGAAGGUCCCCCACAUUGGAACUGAGACACGGUCCAAACUCUACGGGAGGCAGCAGUGAGGAAUAUUGGUCAAUGGACGAGAGUCUGAACCAGCCAAGUAGCGUGAAGGAUGACUGCCUAUGGGUUGUAAACUUCUUUUAUACGGGAAUAAGUGAGGCACGUGUGCCUUUUUGUAUGUACCGUAUGAAUAAGGAUCGGCUAACUCCGUGCCAGCAGCCGCGGUAAUACGGAGGAUCCGAGCGUUAUCCGGAUUUAUUGGGUUUAAAGGGAGCGUAGGCGGACGCUUAAGUCAGUUGUGAAAGUUUGCGGCUCAACCGUAAAAUUGCAGUUGAUACUGGGUGUCUUGAGUACAGUAGAGGCAGGCGGAAUUCGUGGUGUAGCGGUGAAAUGCUUAGAUAUCACGAAGAACUCCGAUUGCGAAGGCAGCUUGCUGGACUGUAACUGACGCUGAUGCUCGAAAGUGUGGGUAU